This 73-nucleotide transfer RNA is filed under the name Zootermopsis nevadensis. It matches the Rfam family "tRNA". Rfam says of the family: Transfer RNA (tRNA) molecules are approximately 80 nucleotides in length. Their secondary structure includes four short double-helical elements and three loops (D, anti-codon, and T loops). Further hydrogen bonds mediate the characteristic L-shaped molecular structure. tRNAs have two regions of fundamental functional importance: the anti-codon, which is responsible for specific mRNA codon recognition, and the 3' end, to which the tRNAs corresponding amino acid is attached (by aminoacyl-tRNA synthetases). tRNAs cope with the degeneracy of the genetic code in two manners: having more than one tRNA (with a specific anti-codon) for a particular amino acid; and 'wobble' base-pairing, i.e. permitting non-standard base-pairing at the 3rd anti-codon position. Lineage: Eukaryota; Metazoa; Arthropoda; Insecta; Blattodea; Termopsidae. The record is from Rfam by way of RNAcentral.
GUCUCGGUGGUCUAGCGGUUAGAACGCUGGCCUUGUAAUCCUGGGGUCUCGGGUUCGAUUCCCGGCGGUGCCC